RNAcentral lists this small nuclear RNA (152 nucleotides) under Carlito syrichta (Philippine tarsier). Its description in RNAcentral is "U12 minor spliceosomal RNA (ENSTSYG00000021840.2)". It matches the Rfam family "U12 minor spliceosomal RNA". From Rfam's summary of the family: Although the U12 sequence is very divergent from that of U2, the two are functionally analogous. Lineage: Eukaryota; Metazoa; Chordata; Mammalia; Primates; Tarsiidae. The record is from Rfam by way of RNAcentral.
AUGCCUUAAACUUAUGAGUAAGGAAAAUAAUGAUUAGGGGUGACACCUGGAUCCUCACUGCUAAUGUGAGAUGAAUUUUUUUAAGCGGGUAAUGUUUGCCCCUAAGGUGACCCGCCUACUUUGCUGGAUGUCUGAGAGUCCCGGUCUGCCCG